AACGAACGCUGGCGGCGUGCCUAACACAUGCAAGUCGGACGAGAAAGUUUCCUUCGGGAAGCGAGUAAAGUGGCGCACGGGUGAGUAACACGUAGACAACCCUGCCUUCCAGUCCGGGACAACCUUUCGAAAGAAGGGCUAAUACCGGAUAACACUUUGGGCCGCAUGGCCUGGGGUUGAAAGAUUUAUCGCUGGAAGAGGGGUCUGCGGGACAUUAGCCUAGUUGGCGGGGUAACGGCCCACCAAGGCGACGAGUCUAGCGGGUCUGAGAGGAUGAUCCGCCACACUGGAACUGAGA
This 298-nucleotide ribosomal RNA is filed under the name uncultured bacterium. RNAcentral describes it as "partial 16S ribosomal RNA". It matches the Rfam family "Bacterial small subunit ribosomal RNA", at positions 29 to 324 of the family's 1533-position model. The record is from RNAcentral.